CCGCCCCGUUACACCAACAUCUCCUGAAGCGGCACCCGCGGUAUUAACUCAACCCCCUAUGAUAAUAUCGCAGGACAUCAUUGACGCUUUAUCGGAGCCUUGGGUUGAGGUGGAAAACGUUAUCAAUGGUAACGUUGAACAUCCCCCUCAACCCAAUUCACCGAUUAUUGAGGAAAAUGAUGUUCUGCCAGAGAGAUUGGUGGUGGUAGAGGCCGAAAAUAACAUCAUUCGGUCACCAUCACCACCACCGUCACCCAUGAUAUUAUCACAGGGCGUCAAUGACAUACAACAACCAUCUGGAUCCGAGGUUGAUGUGGAACUUAACAUCAUCACACCACCACUCCCUCAGCCUCCUGCAACGUUCGAUCCGAUGAGUAUUAUUACUCAAAAUGUCAUUGACGCACUGGCAGAGCCGUGGGUUGAAGAGAGGAGGCAGGGUGAAGAGAUGGAUGUUGAAAAUGACAUCAUUCAACCCUCUCAAUUGUCACCCAUUCUAGGGCAAAUAAAUAAUAGAGUUGAGAAUAGGGUGGAGGGUGGAGACGUUGAUGUCGAAAACGAAGACAAUGACGACGACGACAACAUCAUUCCACCCACUCCCCCUCACUCACGAUCAAGGAGGAGUCGGCGCCCUAGAAAGCCUCGUAGACGUGCGCGAAAGUCCCCAUUAAUAUUAAUUACUAAUAAUUAUAAUAUUAAUAUUAAUAUUAAUGAUGUUAAUAUUAAUUUUUAAUAUUAAUAAAUCCUAUUUCCGUCCUACACUCAUAUCAAGUACAUUUAAUUCGGACGCGAUUUUCCAAAUUUUAACAUCAUACUACCUACAACACGAUGGCAAGCAUGCUGCUCCUCCUCGAGGUCUUGCUGGAUACCUAUCUUUGAACACAAAAAAAAUAUAUAUUUAUAUAGUAUAAAUAAAAGUCUUUCAAAGAUAGUAACAGAAGGCAGCAAAUUUAUAAUUAAACUUUAUUAGUAACCUGUUUAAUUUAUUAUUUCAUAUUUUCAUAAGAAAAUGCAUCACUGUGAAAACUGUAAUAAACAAUUUACAACCCGUCAAUCACGACUACGCCAUGAAAAGCUCUAUUGUCAAGUGGUCAAAAAACAGGAAAAUGGAGGACCGGCCGCCAAAAAACAGAAAAUAUGUCAUUCAACUGGUAAGUUUUAACUAAUAGGUACUCUAUUUUCAAUUAUUUUUCUUUUCUAGCUAGCAACAAUUAUAUGUGCGUUACAUGUAAUCAAGAAAUUGCUCCAAAGCUUAUUACGGCUCAUGAGAGAAGUAGACAGCAUAGAAAUAAUUGUCAAAGUACUCCCUUGGAGGAUGGGGUGUUUGCACUCAGCAGUGCAUUUAAAUCACGCAUCGCUUCAUAUAGGAUUUGUGAUGAGGGCGAUUAUAUCGAUUUAAAUGAAUUUAUGGAUAAAAUUCACAAUAAAUUACUUGGACUUAUUGUUUCACAAAUUGAAAAAUUUAGUACAAUCAAAAUUAAUUUGGAAUUAUUUGGAUUGUAUACCAUUGAGUCAAAAAAUAUAUUUGAUGUAAAAUCUUUCAAUACUACUAACAGAAUUGUCACUUUAGGCACGAAUAUUAGGAAUAUGUUGCAUGACUUUCAAGAAGUUAUUAGUCAAAAAAUGAUGGAUUUUUUGGAACGAGAUUCAGGCUGGACACUUGUGAAAAUUUUACAUUUAGAAUUAAAUGUAAACUAUUACAAUCCAUUGAAAGCUUCAUCGUAUAUCCCACUACCGCCAAGCGUGAAAAUGAAGAGGGCAAUAGUUAAUGUUCAAAAUCAGGAUAUUCAUUGUUUUGGUUGGAGUGUCGUAGCAGCAGUGUGUCUACCUAUGGGACCAGAACAUUUACCCAGUUCAUAUCCACAUUGGUCGACACUUUUUAAUUUCCAAGGUAUUGAAUUUCCUGUAAAACUGGAUAGUAUUGCAAAAUUUGAAAGUCAAAAUAAUGUCUCUCUUAAUGUUUACGGACUUGAAUUACUUUAUGUAAACAAUAAGGUAAAAUUUGAAAUUGUGGGACCAUUAUAUUUUACAAACUUUAAGAAACCGGUACACAUAAAUUUAUUAUUGUUGAGUGAUAACGAUGGUAAUCAACAUUACUGUACAAUAACUAAUUUGCCACGUUUAGUAUCUUCCCAACUCUCAAAACAUCAUCAUUCAAAAUUUUUCUGUGAUGGAUGUCUACAAUAUUUCACAACCCAAGCUUUAUUAGAUAGACAUUCUUCGACUGAUUGUGGAAAACUUUAUGCUAGAAUCCCAAAUAAUGAAUUAAUAACAAAUAGAUUUGGUUAUAAUGUUCCCGCUAAUGUAUUAGAAUUUCAAAAUUAUCAUCAUAAAAUGACUAUCCCAUUUAUUGUUUAUGCUGAUUUCGAAUGUUUAUUGAAACCUAUGAGUACAGUUGCACCAAAUCCAAAUCAAUCAUUUUCGAUAAAAACUUUUCUCCAUCAACCAUAUUCAUGUGCAUAUUACAUUAAAUGUUCAUAUAACGAUCAAUUAUCUAAAUUCCAAAGUUUUCGAGGACAGUCAUCUGUGGUUGACUUUAUUACAGCAUUAGAAAUAGAUUUGAUAGAGAUUUAUAAAAAGUAUUUAAGUAUUGUACAACCAAUGCUUCCAUUAACUAUUCAAGAAGAGUUUGAUUAUCUUACAGCAACGGAAUGUCAUAUUUGUCAAAAACCUUUUCAACAGAAUGAUAUUAAAGUAAAAGAUCACUGUCAUUUAACGGGUCGUUAUAGGUCCGCCGCGCACAGUAAUUGUAACUUGAAUUUUCAAAUUCCAAAUUUUAUUCCGAUAGUAUUUCAUAAUUUAACAAAUUAUGAUAGUCACUUAUUCAUUAAAGAGUUGGCCCUUGAAGAAAGUGAAAUUAAUAUCCUUGGUAAAACUAAAGAGAAAUAUAUUACAUUUUCGAAAAAAAUUUGUGUAGGCGAAUAUCUAAAUUCAAACAAUCGAAUAGUCAAGGAGCACUUACACUUGCGUUUUAUAGAUAGUUUUCAGUUUUUGGCAUGUUCAUUAGAAAAACUGGCAGCAGCCUUGGAUGAUGCUCAAUGUAUGGAAGUAAAACGAUACUUUCCCGUUGACAGAGAAUUUCAGUUAAUUAGACAGAAAGGGGUUUUUCCAUAUUCAUUUAUCGAUGAUUUUUCUAAAUUAGAUCUCACGGAAUUACCACAAAAAAUUGAUUUUUACGAUAAACUUCGCGAUGAGCAUAUUUCUGAAGAUGAUUAUCAACGAGCUAAUACCGUAUGGAAUACAUUCCAUUGUCAGACUCUAGGCGAAUAUUCUGAUCUCUAUUUAAAAAGUGAUAUUUUACUAUUAGCUGAUGUCUUUGAGAAUUUUCGAAACAUGUGCCUUAAGCAUUAUGAACUUGAUCCAGCACAUUACGUGACAGCACCAUCUCUUAGUUGGAAUGCUAUGCUUAAAUUUACCCAUGUAAAAUUAGAAUUAUUGACUGAUAUAGAUAUGUUACAUUUUUUCAAAAAAGGGAUUCGUGGGGGAGUUAGUACAUGUGUUAAACGAGCGGCUCAAGCAAAUAAUAAAUUUCUUCCAAAUUAUGAUCCUUCGAAACCGACAUCAUACAUUUUAUAUCUCGAUGCAACAAAUCUCUAUGGUUGGGCUAUGAGUGAAGUACUCCCUUUAGGUGGAUUUACUUGGUUAACGCAAGACGAAAUUAAUUCACUUAGUAUUAUGGAUUUGACUGAUACCACACCUGAAGGUUAUGUCCUUGAAGUAGAUAUCUCUUAUCCUUAUCAUUUACACAACUCUCAUAAUGAUAUGCCAUUUCUACCUGAAAAUUUAAUUCCACCAAACGGAAAAUGUGCGAAACUCAUUCCAAAUCUAUGUGCUAAAACAAACUACAUAAUACACUAUCGAAAUUUAAAACAAGCUCUACAAAAUGGACUAGAAUUGACAAAAAUUCAUAGAGUACUAAAAUUCAAUCAAUCGUCAUGGCUCAAACCAUAUAUUGAUUUAAAUACGAAAUUACGAAAUCAGACUAAAAAUAAGUUUGAAAAAGAUUUAUUUAAACUCAUGAAUAAUAGCGUGUAUGGAAAAACCAUGGAAAAUGUCGAUAAUCGGGUAGAUAUUAAACUGGCUACACAUUGGAAAAAAAACGGUCACAAGUAUGGAGCAGAGACAUGGAUAGCCAAACCACAAUUUAAAAAUUGUUCUAUUUUUACUGAAAAUUUAGUUGCAAUAGAAAUGAAUAAAGUUCAAGUAACGUAUGAUAAACCUAUUUAUGUAGGAUUCAGUAUAUUGGAAAUUUCAAAAACUUUAAUGUAUGACUUUUUUUAUAAUUUCCUUAAAGUUAAGUAUGGAAAUAAUGUACAGCUUUUGUAUACGGAUACGGAUUCAUUAAUUUUAGAAAUUUAUACGGAAAACGUAUAUAAUGAUAUUAAACAGAAUAUCGAUCGGUUUGAUACUUCAAAUUAUCCCGAGAAUAAUAUUCAUGAUAUUCCUAAAACUGUGUCUAUUAUCGGUAAAAUGAAAGAUGAGUAUGCUGGUGUACCAAUUGUACUUCUUUAUGGCACCGGUGCCAAAGCAUAUUGUGUGCAAACAGUGAAUGAUUUAAUUAAAAAGGCUAAAGGUGUAAGUAAACAUGUAAUUGAUAAAUCUCUAACACUGUUACAAUAUCGGGCAAUUGCAACAAAUCCUUCAUCUUCAUCAGUUUUCUGUGUUAUGAACGUUUUCAAAUCUUAUUUACAUAAUAUGUAUACCGAAUUAAGGAAUAAAAUAGCACUGUCUAAUUUCGAUGAUAAACGAUACAUUUUAGGUAAUUCAAUUGAUACAUUAGCCUGGGGACAUUACGAUAUUGAUAGAGAUCGAAAUUUAGAUUCUCUAAUUAGAGAAUUGCAAAAAUAUGUGGAACCCACUGAUUGAAUUUUACCUUAUUGUAGAUAUGUAACGAUAUGUAACCAUUUAUUUAUACUACGUAUUUAUUAUUAUUAUUAUUAUGUAUUUAUAAUUGAUGUAAUGUGUAAAGUAUUUUUAUUUGUAUUCUGUAAGUCAACAAUGAAACUUGUGCAACAAAAAGAUUUAUUAAAAAUUUCUAACCACGA
This is a long non-coding RNA of Tribolium castaneum (red flour beetle), 5042 nucleotides long. RefSeq lists it as uncharacterized. The record is from RefSeq and is a predicted model, not a curated record. Lineage: Eukaryota; Metazoa; Arthropoda; Insecta; Coleoptera; Tenebrionidae. The transcript has 2 exons.